This is a small nuclear RNA of Cercocebus atys (sooty mangabey), 107 nucleotides long. The record is from Ensembl. Lineage: Eukaryota; Metazoa; Chordata; Mammalia; Primates; Cercopithecidae.
GCGCUCGCUUUGGCAGUACAUAUACUAAAACUAGAACAAUAUAGAGAAGAUUAGUAUGGCCCCUGUGCAAUGAUGACAUGCAAAUUCAUGAAGCGUUUCAUCUUUUU